This 253-nucleotide ribosomal RNA is filed under the name uncultured bacterium. RNAcentral's name for it is "partial 16S ribosomal RNA". It matches the Rfam family "Bacterial small subunit ribosomal RNA", at positions 524 to 776 of the family's 1533-position model. The record is from RNAcentral.
UACGUAGGGUGCAAGCGUUGUCCGGAAUUAUUGGGCGUAAAGAGCUCGUAGGCGGUUUGUCGCGUCUGCUGUGAAAACUCGGGGCUUAACCCCGGGCCUGCAGUGGGUACGGGCAGACUAGAGUGCGGUAGGGGAGACUGGAAUUCCUGGUGUAGCGGUGAAAUGCGCAGAUAUCAGGAGGAACACCGGUGGCGAAGGCGGGUCUCUGGGCCGUAACUGACGCUGAGGAGCGAGAGCGUGGGGAGCAAACAGG